RNAcentral lists this ribosomal RNA (1425 nucleotides) under Staphylococcus saprophyticus. Its description in RNAcentral is "bacterial SSU rRNA". It matches the Rfam family "Bacterial small subunit ribosomal RNA". Lineage: Bacteria; Bacillati; Bacillota; Bacilli; Caryophanales; Staphylococcaceae. The record is from RNAcentral.
UGCAAGUCGAGCGAACAGAUAAGGAGCUUGCUCCUUUGACGUUAGCGGCGGACGGGUGAGUAACACGUGGGUAACCUACCUAUAAGACUGGGAUAACUUCGGGAAACCGGAGCUAAUACCGGAUAACAUUUGGAACCGCAUGGUUCUAAAGUGAAAGAUGGUUUUGCUAUCACUUAUAGAUGGACCCGCGCCGUAUUAGCUAGUUGGUAAGGUAACGGCUUACCAAGGCAACGAUACGUAGCCGACCUGAGAGGGUGAUCGGCCACACUGGAACUGAGACACGGUCCAGACUCCUACGGGAGGCAGCAGUAGGGAAUCUUCCGCAAUGGGCGAAAGCCUGACGGAGCAACGCCGCGUGAGUGAUGAAGGGUUUCGGCUCGUAAAACUCUGUUAUUAGGGAAGAACAAAUGUGUAAGUAACUGUGCACAUCUUGACGGUACCUAAUCAGAAAGCCACGGCUAACUACGUGCCAGCAGCCGCGGUAAUACGUAGGUGGCAAGCGUUAUCCGGAAUUAUUGGGCGUAAAGCGCGCGUAGGCGGUUUCUUAAGUCUGAUGUGAAAGCCCACGGCUCAACCGUGGAGGGUCAUUGGAAACUGGGAAACUUGAGUGCAGAAGAGGAAAGUGGAAUUCCAUGUGUAGCGGUGAAAUGCGCAGAGAUAUGGAGGAACACCAGUGGCGAAGGCGACUUUCUGGUCUGUAACUGACGCUGAUGUGCGAAAGCGUGGGGAUCAAACAGGAUUAGAUACCCUGGUAGUCCACGCCGUAAACGAUGAGUGCUAAGUGUUAGGGGGUUUCCGCCCCUUAGUGCUGCAGCUAACGCAUUAAGCACUCCGCCUGGGGAGUACGACCGCAAGGUUGAAACUCAAAGGAAUUGACGGGGACCCGCACAAGCGGUGGAGCAUGUGGUUUAAUUCGAAGCAACGCGAAGAACCUUACCAAAUCUUGACAUCCUUUGAAAACUCUAGAGAUAGAGCCUUCCCCUUCGGGGGACAAAGUGACAGGUGGUGCAUGGUUGUCGUCAGCUCGUGUCGUGAGAUGUUGGGUUAAGUCCCGCAACGAGCGCAACCCUUAAGCUUAGUUGCCAUCAUUAAGUUGGGCACUCUAGGUUGACUGCCGGUGACAAACCGGAGGAAGGUGGGGAUGACGUCAAAUCAUCAUGCCCCUUAUGAUUUGGGCUACACACGUGCUACAAUGGACAAUACAAAGGGCAGCUAAACCGCGAGGUCAUGCAAAUCCCAUAAAGUUGUUCUCAGUUCGGAUUGUAGUCUGCAACUCGACUACAUGAAGCUGGAAUCGCUAGUAAUCGUAGAUCAGCAUGCUACGGUGAAUACGUUCCCGGGUCUUGUACACACCGCCCGUCACACCACGAGAGUUUGUAACACCCGAAGCCGGUGGAGUAACCAUUUAUGGAGCUAGCCGUCGAA